Long non-coding RNA from Lineus longissimus, 1013 nucleotides. RefSeq lists it as uncharacterized. NCBI's taxonomy places the organism in Eukaryota, Metazoa, Nemertea, Pilidiophora, Heteronemertea, Lineidae. The record is from RefSeq and is a predicted model, not a curated record. The transcript is spliced from 3 exons.
GGUGAACAUCGCAGAAACACUUUCUCCGAUUUAAAACUUAAAAAUUCCUUCAAAUUUUCCGAAACAAAUCAAGACGGCUGCAGCAGAAGAGGUGACUGACUCCUCCGCCCAUGAGGUGCGGAAGCGCCGAGAAUGAUGAGUGCCAGUCUUCAAAAUGACGAGGUGGCAGUGCCCAGUUUAAGCAGGGUCAUGGAACAACUCUUCCCUCCUUGAAAAGACCUCCAUGGAGACAGAAAUAACUCUGGGCCAAGUCUCAGUAGAACAAUACCUGAACCUGACUUCACCAACCAGGGAAGGACACGUUUUCCAGUGGUCAUUCGGCCAUUCUGCUACACUGGGAUACGAAUCCUACCAAACUGCAGCGCCACCUGUUCACAAAUGUAGUGCCUUCAUAGCUUUUUGUUAGAAAUAUCUUUUUGUAAAACCUAUUAGUGAUUUUUAAAUAUCGACAGAUGAAGAUACCAGUUCAAGUUGAAGAUUUGAAUUUGUCCUAAUCAUUCCAAAUGCUGAUUGAAAGUUUCACAAUCAGUGAUUGUUUGUACAUUUCAUCAUUGGUGUCCGUUCAUAAUCCAGGACAAAAUUUGACACGUCCUUCCUGUGCUGGUCGUUCAAAUUGCAUUAGCCCGUUGAUCAGUGAUGUCUUUAACGUGGCGUUGAGUUGAUUGGACUUAACUGCAUGAGGUAACGCCAAGUAAGUGUCUUGACUUUGUCGGCAACAAGCGGUUCCUGUGAAGAACAAUCAGGACCAAGUGUGUUGUCGCACCACUUUCGCUGUCACAAUCACAUCAACAUUAUCAGGACGAUCAGGUCACAGAUUGCCGAUACUUCAGGGGAGUCGGGGGAAAAACUCUGGUGUAAAGGCAGAAAAUUUCCCCUGGAAAAAGUGUCGGGGCCUAUUGUAUUCUGUCGGAUUAUGCUAUGACCGCCAAUAGCUCCAGAUUAAGGUGAGAGAUAGAAUGCUUGGUUCUCGGACAUUCUAUCCCCGGCUGUAGAAACUCCCAGAAAAAAGUUGU